AUGCAUACAGCGAUAAAGUCCUGCAGAAGCAGCUCACAAAGCCCUGCACCGGCAGGGGUCAGGGGAGAGGGGCUGCUGGGUCACUCUGGCCCUUGCCCUUCCUCCCCUCUCCCCAUCCCCUGUGCUGCAUCUCCCCUGUUCAUGACGCUGAAACUCUUUGUUUUGCCUCUCCUCGGUCCCUGGCAGCGGUGGGCUGUGCCGUGGGGCCCUGGGGGCCGUGGAGCGGGUGCAGCUCCCCGUGCGGAGCUGGCAGCAGGGCCCGCAGCCGCCAGGUCACGGUGCCGCCCCGGCACGGCGGCGAUCCCUGUCCGGACCUCAAGCAGCGCCGCGGCUGCCUGGGGCAGCACCCGACCUGCGGCACGGCCCAAGGUAACGGGGUGCCUGCUGCCCUCCUGCUGCUGUCCCCGAGUGCUGCCGCCCCGGGGCGUCUUUAAUCAUCCCCCUGCCCCUCACAGCUGCUCUUGUGCCAGAGGUAGCCAAGAUUCUCCCCAACUCCUUCAGCCAGGACUUCAGAGAUCCCUGGCGAAGAGCUGGGAUGCCACCGCCAGAGGAGCCCUCUGGCUCCUGCGGCUAUUUCCGCCUGACCCAGGUGGGGCUCCCGUGCCGCGGGCGCGCCUGGAGCCGCCGGCUGCAGCGGGACAGGCAGGUCUGUGUGGAAUGCCGGGGGAAUCUGCCCCACCGCCGUCCCCAGUGCACCGGACACGGCCUGCAGGGAGCCAGGUAGGUGCUAAUCUGUGCCAUCCCCACCGUGGGAUCUCUCCUGGAACACCUCUCCCUCUCUAAGGCAUUAUCCCUUUAUAUUCUAAUUACAAUAUUUGUAUACAAAGCUAUAAUUAUGUUAAAAUAUGCUACAAUGUUAUAGUACACCAUCAUGUUAUAAAUGAAUCAAUAAUAUGUCCUAUAAACAGAUUAUAAUAUAAAAUUAAACAUAUAUAAAUAGAAUAGAAUAUCUGUUGGAAGGGACAGACAAUUAUCAUCUAGUCCGACUGCCAUUAUUAUAUAUGUAAUAUAAACCCAUAUAUAAAACUAUAUUUGAUUUUUUAAAAUUGUAUUUAUUAAUGGCACACCCCAGUUCUCACUGAUUUUCCCUUCCAGGACAUUUUGGGUGGCCGCUUCUGUGGUGGGGUGCCAGGGCUCAUGGGUGCAGGAGGGCCUGCAGGAGGGCUGUGUCUGCUCCCCCCCGGCUCUCAUCUUUGUGUAGGGAAG
This 1206-nucleotide long non-coding RNA is filed under the name Zonotrichia albicollis (white-throated sparrow). Its description in RNAcentral is "lncRNA (ENSZALG00000009464.1)". Lineage: Eukaryota; Metazoa; Chordata; Aves; Passeriformes; Passerellidae. The record is from RNAcentral.